RNAcentral lists this ribosomal RNA (466 nucleotides) under uncultured bacterium. Its description in RNAcentral is "partial 16S ribosomal RNA". It matches the Rfam family "Bacterial small subunit ribosomal RNA", at positions 28 to 507 of the family's 1533-position model. The record is from RNAcentral.
GAUGAACGCUGGCGGCGUGCUUAACACAUGCAAGUCGAACGAUGAAGCCCAGCUUGCUGGGUGGAUUAGUGGCGAACGGGUGAGUAACACGUGAGUAACCUGCCCUUAACUCUGGGAUAAGCCUGGGAAACUGGGUCUAAUACCGGAUAGGAGCGUCCACCGCAUGGUGGGUGUUGGAAAGAUUUAUCGGUUUUGGAUGGACUCGCGGCCUAUCAGCUUGUUGGUGAGGUAAUGGCUCACCAAGGCGACGACGGGUAGCCGGCCUGAGAGGGUGACCGGCCACACUGGGACUGAUACACCGCCCAGACUCCUACGGGAGGCAGCAGUGGGGAAUAUUGCACAAUGGGCGCAAGCCUGAUGCAGCGACGCCGCGUGAGGGAUGACGGCCUUCGGGUUGUAAACCUCUUUCAGUAGGGAAGAAGCGAAAGUGACGGUACCUGCAGAAGAAGCACCGGCUAACUACGUG